Python bivittatus (Burmese python) is the source of this 277-nucleotide long non-coding RNA. RefSeq lists it as uncharacterized. Lineage: Eukaryota; Metazoa; Chordata; Lepidosauria; Squamata; Pythonidae. The record is from RefSeq and is a predicted model, not a curated record.
AUGAUGGAAUUGCACUUUGUUUGUGGAAUACCAUGUUCUGGAUUAUAUAGCAAAUAGAUUAUAUAGUGAAUCCUCCUUUCAAUUUUCCUCUGCUUCUAUCAUGUCCUCUACUUCCUUACUCAGGAGUAGCACAACCUGCAAAGGCAUCACUUGUCUACCAGCUGCUGAGUUUGGCUUUCAGAUGGAUCUCAACCCCAGUUCCAGCUAUCUCCAAAAUUGAAUGCUCAGACUCUGAUGAUGAGGAGGCUGGCAAAGAGCAGGAGCUGGCGCCUGAGGA